Molecule: ribosomal RNA, 760 nt
Filed under: uncultured Acinetobacter sp.
Lineage: Bacteria; Pseudomonadati; Pseudomonadota; Gammaproteobacteria; Moraxellales; Moraxellaceae
Description: bacterial SSU rRNA
Rfam family: Bacterial small subunit ribosomal RNA
Source: RNAcentral
GUAGCUUGCUACAUUACCUAGCGGCGGACGGGUGAGUAAUGCUUAGGAAUCUGCCUAUUAGUGGGGGACAACAUCUCGAAAGGGAUGCUAAUACCGCAUACGUCCUACGGGAGAAAGCAGGGGACCUUCGGGCCUUGCGCUAAUAGAUGAGCCUAAGUCGGAUUAGCUAGUUGGUGGGGUAAAGGCCUACCAAGGCGACGAUCUGUAGCGGGUCUGAGAGGAUGAUCCGCCACACUGGGACUGAGACACGGCCCAGACUCCUACGGGAGGCAGCAGUGGGGAAUAUUGGACAAUGGGGGGAACCCUGAUCCAGCCAUGCCGCGUGUGUGAAGAAGGCCUUUUGGUUGUAAAGCACUUUAAGCGAGGAGGAGGCUACCGAGAUUAAUACUCUUGGAUAGUGGACGUUACUCGCAGAAUAAGCACCGGCUAACUCUGUGCCAGCAGCCGCGGUAAUACAGAGGGUGCAAGCGUUAAUCGGAUUUACUGGGCGUAAAGCGCGCGUAGGUGGCCAAUUAAGUCAAAUGUGAAAUCCCCGAGCUUAACUUGGGAAUUGCAUUCGAUACUGGUUGGCUAGAGUAUGGGAGAGGAUGGUAGAAUUCCAGGUGUAGCGGUGAAAUGCGUAGAGAUCUGGAGGAAUACCGAUGGCGAAAGCAGCCAUCUGGCCUAAUACUGACACUGAGGUGCGAAAGCAUGGGGAGCAAACAGGAUUAGAUACCCUGGUAGUCCAUGCCGUAAACGAUGUCUACUAGCCGUUUGGGGC